GAUGAACGCUGGCGGCGUGCCUAAUACAUGCAAGUCGAGCGAACGGACGAGAAGCUUGCUUCUCUGAUGUUAGCGGCGGACGGGUGAGUAACACGUGGAUAACCUACCUAUAAGACUGGGAUAACUUCGGGAAACCGUAGCUAAUACCGGAUAAUAUUUUGAACCGCAUGGUUCAAAAGUGAAAGACGGUCUUGCUGUCACUUAUAGAUGGAUCCGCGCUGCAUUAGCUAGUUGGUAAGGUAACGGCUUACCAAGGCAACGAUGCAUAGCCGACCUGAGAGGGUGAUCGGCCACACUGGAACUGAGACACGGACCAGACUCCUACGGGAGGCAGCAGUAGGGAAUCUUCCGCAAUGGGCGAAAGCCUGACGGAGCAACGCCGCGUGAGUGAUGAAGGUCUUCGGAUCGUAAAACUCUGUUAUUAGGGAAGAACAGAUGUGUAAGUAACUGUGCACAUCUUGACGGUACCUAAUCAGAAAGCCACGGCUAACUACGUG
RNAcentral lists this ribosomal RNA (497 nucleotides) under uncultured bacterium. RNAcentral's name for it is "partial 16S ribosomal RNA". It matches the Rfam family "Bacterial small subunit ribosomal RNA", at positions 28 to 507 of the family's 1533-position model. The record is from RNAcentral.